Molecule: ribosomal RNA, 497 nt
Filed under: uncultured bacterium
Lineage: Bacteria
Description: partial 16S ribosomal RNA
Rfam family: Bacterial small subunit ribosomal RNA
Source: RNAcentral
GAUGAACGCUGGCGGCGUGCCUAAUACAUGCAAGUCGAGCGAACGGACGAGAAGCUUGCUUCUCUGAUGUUAGCGGCGGACGGGUGAGUAACACGUGGAUAACCUACCUAUAAGACUGGGAUAACUUCGGGAAACCGGAUCUAAUACCGGAUAAUAUUUUGAACCGCAUGGUUCAAAAGUGAAAGACGGUCUUGCUGUCACUUAUAGAUGGAUCCGCGCUGCAUUAGCUAGUUGGUAAGGUAACGGCUUACCAAGGCAACGAUGCAUAGCCGACCUGAGAGGGUGAUCGGCCACACUGGAACUGAGACACGGUCCAGACUCCCACGGGAGGCAGCAGUAGGGAAUCUUCCGCAAUGGGCGAAAGCCUGACGGAGCAACGCCGCGUGAGUGAUGAAGGUCUUCGGAUCGUAAAACUCUGUUAUUAGGGAAGAACAUAUGUGUAAGUAACUGUGCACAUCUUGACGGUACCUAAUCAGAAAGCCACGGCUAACUACGUG